UGGGGAAUUUUGGACAAUGGGGGCAACCCUGAUCCAGCAAUGCCGCGUGUGUGAAGAAGGCCUUCGGGUUGUAAAGCACUUUUGUCCGGAAAGAAAACGCCGUGGUUAAUACCCGCGGCGGAUGACGGUACCGGAAGAAUAAGCACCGGCUAACUACGUGCCAGCAGCCGCGGUAAUACGUAGGGUGCAAGCGUUAAUCGGAAUUACUGGGCGUAAAGCGUGCGCAGGCGGUCCGCUAAGACAGAUGUGAAAUCCCCGGGCUUAACCUGGGAACUGCAUUUGUGACUGGCGGGCUAGAGUAUGGCAGAGGGGGGUAGAAUUCCACGUGUAGCAGUGAAAUGCGUAGAGAUGUGGAGGAAUACCGAUGGCGAAGGCAGCCCCCUGGGCCAAUACUGACGCUCAUGCACGAAAGCGUGGGGAGCAAACAGGAUUAGAUACCCUGGUAGUCCACGCCCUAAACGAUGUCAAC
Molecule: ribosomal RNA, 469 nt
Filed under: uncultured bacterium
Lineage: Bacteria
Description: partial 16S ribosomal RNA
Rfam family: Bacterial small subunit ribosomal RNA
Source: RNAcentral